RNAcentral lists this ribosomal RNA (484 nucleotides) under uncultured bacterium. RNAcentral's name for it is "partial 16S ribosomal RNA". It matches the Rfam family "Bacterial small subunit ribosomal RNA", at positions 30 to 507 of the family's 1533-position model. The record is from RNAcentral.
AUUGAACGCUGGCGGCAGGCCUAACACAUGCAAGUCGAGCGGAUGAAGGGAGCUUGCUCCUGGAUUCAGCGGCGGACGGGUGAGUAAUGCCUAGGAAUCUGCCUGGGAGUGGGGGAUAACGUCCGGAAACGGGCGCGAAUACCGCAUACGUCCUGAGGGGGAAAGUGGGGGAUCUUCGGACCUCACGCUAUCGGAUGAGCCUAGGUCGGAUUAGCUAGUUGGUGGGGUAACGGCCUACCAAGGCGACGAUCCGUAACUGGUCUGAGAGGAUGAUCAGUCACACUGGAACUGAGACACGGUCCAGACUCCUACGGGAGGCAGCAGUGGGGAAUAUUGGACAAUGGGCGCAAGCCUGAUCCAGCCAUGCCGCGUGUGUGAAGAAGGUCUUCGGAUUGUAAAGCACUUUAAGUUGGGAGGAAGGGCAGUAAGUUAAUACCUUGCUGUUUUGACGUUACCAACAGAAUAAGCACCGGCUAACUUCGUG